GAUGAACGCUGGCGGCGUGCCUAAUACAUGCAAGUCGAGCGAACAGACGAGGAGCUUGCUCCUCUGACGUUAGCGGCGGACGGGUGAGUAACACGUGGAUAACCUACCUAUAAGACUGGGGUACCUUCGGGAAACCGGAGCUAAUACCGGAUAAUAUCUUGAACCGCAUGGGUCAAUAGUGAAAGACGGUUUUGCUGUCACUUAUAGAUGGAUCCGCGCCGCAUUAGCUAGUUGGUAAGGUAACGGCUUACCAAGGCGACGAUGCGUAGCCGACCUGAGAGGAUGAUCGGCCACACUGGAACUGAGACACGGUCCAGACUCCUACGGGAGGCAGCAGUAGGGAAUCUUCCGCAAUGGGCGAAAGCCUGACGGAGCAACGCCGCGUGAGUGAUGAAGGUCUUCGGAUCGUAAAACUCUGUUAUUAGGGAAGAACAAAUGGGUACGUAACUAUGCACGUCUUGACGGUACCGAAUCAGAAAGCCCCGGCUAACUACGUG
This 497-nucleotide ribosomal RNA is filed under the name uncultured bacterium. Its description in RNAcentral is "partial 16S ribosomal RNA". It matches the Rfam family "Bacterial small subunit ribosomal RNA", at positions 28 to 507 of the family's 1533-position model. The record is from RNAcentral.